RNAcentral lists this ribosomal RNA (516 nucleotides) under Microphalloidea sp. 1 SB-2020. RNAcentral describes it as "partial large subunit ribosomal RNA". The record is from RNAcentral. Lineage: Eukaryota; Metazoa; Platyhelminthes; Trematoda; Plagiorchiida.
UGCGAGUGAACAGGGAUAAGCCCAGCACCGAAGCCUGUGGCCAGUUGGUCACUAGGCAAUGUGGUGUUCAGGUCGUUCCGCAAAGGUACUGCUCCACCCUAAGUCCAUCAAUGAGUACGGUAGUAUGGRCAUGGCCCGCAGAGGGUGAAAGGCCCGUGGGGGUGGAGUUCAGGCAGGCCAGUACCUUUCUGGAUAGACCUUGGAGUCGGGUUGUUUGUGAAUGCAACCCAAAGUGGGUGGUAAACUCCAUCCAAGGCUAAAUACAAGCACGAGUCCGAUAGCGAACAAGUACCGUGAGGGAAAGUUGAAAAGUACUUUGAAGAGAGAGUAAACAGUGCGUGAAACCGGUCAGAGGUAAACGGGUGGAGUUGAACUGCAAGCUCUGGGAAUUCAGCUGGUGAGUGUGGUUUGAGCUUGGUUAAAUUGGUCGGACCCUGAAGUCUGCGUAGCAGCAGGCCUUUACCCUUCGGGGUAAGGGUGCGCGAUGCACUUAUCAAGUGUUGUGCGCUUUGGGUG